RNAcentral lists this long non-coding RNA (569 nucleotides) under Daphnia pulex (common water flea). RNAcentral describes it as "uncharacterized LOC124190435, transcript variant X2". The record is from RNAcentral. Lineage: Eukaryota; Metazoa; Arthropoda; Branchiopoda; Diplostraca; Daphniidae.
UGCACGUUCUUUCUCUUCUCUGACAGGGCAGUCUGGCAGUGACAGUUUCACUUCACUACUCGAUAAUUUCGUUUUUUUUCGAGUUUCUGACAUUUUGUGCUGAAAAUAUAUAAAGGAUUGGAUUAAGGAACGAACCGUGAUCCUUUAACUACUGUUUAAUAGCCUUGAGAUUGAUCUUAUUUGUGAUCAAGUUCAUGAAUUGGUCUUAUAUUGUCCAUUUGGAAUUGUUCACCAAAGGAACAAAGAUUGGAAGCCUGGUCCAUGUCGCAAGACAGAUGCUGUAAGAAUUGCCGCAACAAAAAGUAUGGUUUACUUCCUCAAGACUAUGAACCAUAUCCUUGAUGAUGGACUCAGAAGACUGCACAGUUGUUGUGUAUUGUAAAGCUUCUUUCAAAGGCUUACACCGACUUAUACCGAAGAAGCCAACGGAGACGUGAUGUUGCAAAUGGUUCGUAAUGCUCAAAAGACCAAUUUGAUUUGUUAGCGUAAUUAAAUUGCUUAUUAUUGGGAAAGAAUAUAGCAAACAAAUGUAUACUACUGUGGGGAUAAAAAGAGUGGCGUCCAUUCUA